GCCUGUCUAUCACCAACUGGACUGUUUUUGGCUCUCCCUCCUUGGAUAUUUUUGUUCAUCUAGACAGUAAGAAAUCAGCUGAUCUUCGAAAACCGGCAUAUAACGGCUCAGUUUACUAUCUCAAAUGCCUUAUCGGCAGCUAGGGAGUAGAAAUUAGCGCAGCAAGAUUCUGGUUUCCCAAAAAGAAGUUUCUUACCAUCAUUUGAGCAGGGCCCGCUACCAUCUCUCACGGUGACAUGUAAUACAGAUGCAGCAUGGUCAAAAGAAACAGGUACGACAGGGCUAGAAUGGUGUUUUGAAUCUCUGCAACCGCACAUCAGUAAAUGCUGCUCAAAAUCCCUUCUCUCUGUAUCAUCGCCUAUAACAACAAAGAGAAAAGAAAAAAAGCAGUUUGCAUCUUACAGUCAUCCGAAAUCAAUCGGAAUCGGAAACCGAGGAAGAGAGUGUGUGGCGGAGUUAAAGAGAAAGAGAGAAAUUGAACGUUUUCCAAAACUAGAG
RNAcentral lists this long non-coding RNA (498 nucleotides) under Brassica napus (rape). Its description in RNAcentral is "long non-coding RNA (BNAP_LNC011427)". Lineage: Eukaryota; Viridiplantae; Streptophyta; Magnoliopsida; Brassicales; Brassicaceae. The record is from RNAcentral.